GUAGAAUAAUUCAUGUAGAAUUAUUUCUGAUGUGAAUCUUGAAUUCUUUUCUGUGGAAAAAGAUUUCUGUAGAAACGAGUCUGUAGAA
This is a long non-coding RNA of Diprion similis, 88 nucleotides long. RefSeq lists it as uncharacterized. The record is from RefSeq and is a predicted model, not a curated record. The transcript has 3 exons. NCBI's taxonomy places the organism in Eukaryota, Metazoa, Arthropoda, Insecta, Hymenoptera, Diprionidae.